RNAcentral lists this ribosomal RNA (253 nucleotides) under uncultured bacterium. RNAcentral describes it as "partial 16S ribosomal RNA". It matches the Rfam family "Bacterial small subunit ribosomal RNA", at positions 524 to 776 of the family's 1533-position model. The record is from RNAcentral.
UACAGAGGUCCCAAGCGUUGUUCGGAUUCAUUGGGCGAAAAGGGUGCGUAGGCGGCGCGGUAAGUCGGGUGUGAAAUCUCGGGGCUUAACUCCGAAACUGCAUUCGAUACUGCCGUGCUUGAGGACUGGAGAGGAGACUGGAAUUUACGGUGUAGCGGUGAAAUGCGUAGAUAUCGUAAGGAAGACCAGUGGCGAAGGCGGGUCUCUGGACAGUACCUGACGCUGAGGCACGAAGGCCAGGGGAGCAAACGGG